Molecule: non-coding RNA, 101 nt
Filed under: Gasterosteus aculeatus (three-spined stickleback)
Lineage: Eukaryota; Metazoa; Chordata; Actinopteri; Perciformes; Gasterosteidae
Description: Eukaryotic large subunit ribosomal RNA
Rfam family: Eukaryotic large subunit ribosomal RNA
Source: Rfam by way of RNAcentral
UCAUUUUGUUUUGUCAUUGUGAAGCAGAAUUCACCAAGCGUUGGAUUGUUCACACACUAAUAGGGAACGUGAGCUGGGAUUAGACCGUCGUGAGACAGGUU